Molecule: ribosomal RNA, 429 nt
Filed under: Pseudomonadota bacterium
Lineage: Bacteria; Pseudomonadati; Pseudomonadota
Description: Proteobacteria bacterium partial 16S ribosomal RNA
Rfam family: Bacterial small subunit ribosomal RNA
Source: RNAcentral
UGGGGAAUAUUGGACAAUGGGCGAAAGCCUGAUCCAGCCAUGCCGCGUGUGUGAAGAAGGUCUUCGGAUUGUAAAGCACUUUAAGUUGGGAGGAAGGGCAGUAAGCGAAUACCUUGCUGUUUUGACGUUACCGACAGAAUAAGCACCGGCUAACUCUGUGCCAGCAGCCGCGGUAAUACAGAGGGUGCAAGCGUUAAUCGGAAUUACUGGGCGUAAAGCGCGCGUAGGUGGUUCGUUAAGUUGAAUGUGAAAGCCCCGGGCUCAACCUGGGAACUGCAUCUAAAACUGGCGAGCUAGAGUAGGGCAGAGGGUGGUGGAAUUUCCUGUGUAGCGGUGAAAUGCGUAGAUAUAGGAAGGAACACCAGUGGCGAAGGCGACCACCUGGGCUCAUACUGACACUGAGGUGCGAAAGCGUGGGGAGCAAACAGG